AAUAGGCUACGUGUACUUUUUGGGACCAUAAUGUAAAGGGAUAUCGUAGUGUUUCAGAUAUUCUGGUAAGGAAAUGUACGAAAAUUGAUGGUGCAACAUGUUUAGUUUGUUAAAACGAAGUGCUUUUGUUUAUCGUGAAUGUUUGCUAGAUUAUUCUCAUGUAGUGAACAUAAGAUAUCUUCCAUUCUCUUUGUCAGUUCAAACUACACCUUGAGAGUUUAAGUCAACUAUCAAGAGCUGUGGGCUGCUAGGAUAUAUCUUAAAUAACCUUGUUAAGUUUCUUCUGUUGUUUCAUGGAUUUCUUGAUACUAUAGGGAGAGUUGAUUAUCAACUUUCUCAUUGAAUUCAACUCUAAGUUGGUUGCAGACAUAAAUCCUGGUGUGAAAGCUUUAAUGUUGUAAGUUGCUGAAAAAGUUAGAAAGUCAUUAUGCUACAAUUUUACAGCACAUUUACGGAAUAUCAGAUGGGAAAGAGCUGGGUCCAAGCUUUGCUAAGCUGAGUUUGGUUUUGGAAGCCCAAUCAGCUGUCCUAUUGGACAUGACGGCAGGUAUGGCGGAGUGUCAUCCAACAUAUAGACUCAGUUUCGAAAGUUCAAAUUAGCUUGGAUCAUCUCUGCAACCCGAAGCUUGAUAUUGAAACUUGAAAGUUGAGACCUAUCUAUUUCUCCAGAUCUGUUUGAUGAUUUAGAAGGUCAUAGCUUAUACCGACUUGGAAAUCCUGUUGACCUGACUUGUUACUGCUGAGGAUUGAUGUGAAGGGUUGUAAAUGGAGAUCAUCUCAAUCAACAGAGUUAUCUUCCACUGGUGAGUAUAUAUGGUUGAGCUACUGUAAUGUAUUUGUUAAGCUGGACUGAAAAUGCUGUAAUGGAACUUUGAUUUAAAGAAUUGUUUCUGGACUUGGUGCUGACAUUAUACUCAAUAUUAGCGACAUUUCUAGUGCAGAACUCCAAGAUGAAUUCUUCGGACUCAUACUACAGGGGAAGAAAAACUUUGGUUUUGUUAUGUUUGUGGCAUUACACAACUAAUGUCAUCCGUUCGGUCUCAAUCAGUUGACACCCUAAAGCAAAGAGGGAAAUACUUGGAUUAGCAGUUUUUCAGUUCAGCUGCAUCUAGAUGGGGGAAAACAAUCAAGAAACCUUUCAGGUUAACGGAGAUACUCGAAAUCUGGAACUUGGAAACAUGUGGUUAGAUCUGUUUUUGUUCGAAUGAGUAUAUCAACAAGUGAGGCUGUCAUGCAGAUUGCAGUAGUGAAGCAAAUGGGGGCAUCAAGAUUUGGGAUUUGAGAAACACCUGAAGUUCCCUUUAGUGAUGGAAGUUACUUUGGUUCAUCACUAUUUUCUUGAAGAAAUUUAAGAGGGUGAGAGAGAACCGAGUUGAAGUUUCAUAGUAACAUUAUUUGAGUACAAAAAUGUUUACCUGACUAUUAUACCAACACUUCAAGUUUAUGGGCUCUCUUUCUUGGUUAUGGGAUUAUUGUUGUUGGUGACACUCUGGUUAUUACAAGAAAAUUUAGAGUUGACAAGAUAGUAAUAUAUCGGGAAUAUAUUGUUCCUGCCACUUCUCAGCAGUCCAAUAAAUGGCCUGAAACUGGUUUCAUGUCACAAAAUGCAUUGAUGAGUUCUCUAGGACUCUCGCCAUGUAGGUUUUGCGCAGGUACUGACCCUGAAACAUCAACUGUAAAUUAAAUGUCCUCUAAACAAUGUACAAUAGAGAAACUCCUGUUUUGAAUAGCACAGUCUUGUAGAUAGCUCAUUCCUUAUGCCCUUGAUCUGCUAACUUGUUUUUCAAUUUUCCCCUAAAUGGAUGAAAUUACAAUGUGUUAAAUGCCACACAGGGUAGCAGAGAAUUCAUAUCUUUAUUGUGAUAAGUCAGAUGAUUUAUCAUCAAUAUAAUUAAGUGUUCCCCGAGGUUAUAUUUGUAUAUUUUGCCUUUACAUUCCAGAACUGUCCGUCAUUAUUGUUCAAUCCAGGGUUAUGGCACGACUUGAGAUCACUACUGCAGGAACAGUAAAGCAUGGUUGCAAUACGGAGAAAGUUCAGUAGCCUUCCGGACUAGUGAAUGAGUGAGCUUUGGAAUGCCAUUUUACGCAGCUAAUUCAUCUCAGAAGUUUCUUGGCGUGUAACGUGUUCAAUAGAUUGUUCCUUGGACCGGUACUUCCAAUUGCUGCUUAGCUUUUAGUUUCAACUUCAGUUUUGCCUUGCUUAUUGUUGCUGCUAUCCUGCAGUGAAUAGUGAUGCUUAUCUCCAAAGUAUUAAUACGGCCUUAAGAUUUCCAAAUAUGCAGUAUUGUUUAACUGAUAAUAACCAUUACGUAUUGCUGGCCAUAUCUGAUCUGUUUCUUGGAUGUAUAAUGAAAUAGAACACGGCAAGACAUCUGCUAGGACAUGUAAAGAUGAAAUACCUUCAUAUAUCCCAUAAGUUUUAUGAGUAAUAACAAGUUUGCUAUUGAAGUUCUUCCAAAGUACUUCAAACAUAGCAAUUUAUCCAGUUUCAUUUACCAGCUCAACAACUAUGUGAGUAUUCUGCAAAUUUAACUUCUUUAUUAGUAUGUUUUCUGUGUUGUGUUCCUAUUUUUUGUUACUAGCUCAACAACUAUGACUUUUUACUGCAUUUUCCACUUCUGAUAUGUUUGCUAUGUUAUUUUUCUCAUUUUUAUUGUUUCUUGAAAUUUUGGCUUCUCUUCCAUACCCUCCCCAUUUUUUUUUGUUAGCUCAAAAUCUAUGUGGCCUCAAUGUCAUCGUCUUAAUUUAACCUUGUAAUUACAAGGUAGGGGUAAGGCUGAGUACAUAUUACCUUCCCAGACCCCACUUGUGGGAACUCAAUGGUUUUUUUUUUUUCUUUUCUUGUUGUUGUUGUAAUUAGUGUGCAUGUGGUGCUUUUAUGAAUCCGGAUUCGGUUUCUUGAAAGCUGUUGCUUUGUUUCCUUUUUCUAUUUGAAGUGAAAAUUUGGAUUGAUUUGACAAGAAAGAAUGAAUCUCAGGGUUUUAAGAAGGUUUGUUCUUACAAAAGUGAGUAUGCAAAUCCAUGGUUUCGAGCUGGGAAAAAGCACUGGCUGAAGAAUAUCAAAAGCAGGAUUCAACUAUCCAAAACCAAUAAGCCACAACAAGGUUCGCAUAGUUCUUGUGUUGAUCCAAUGAAGGAUAAUUUGGAAGAGGAGGUGGAGAAGUUGGGGAAUGAUAACAUUAGUCUGAAAAUAGAACUUCAGAAGUUGAAAGAUAGACAAGAAAACAUGAGAGUUUUGUUUCCUACUAUGAAAGGAUGCAGAAAGGAUACAGAAAUUAGCAAUAUUUUGGUAGAGUCGGAGAAGAUUCUAGCAGCAAUGACACAAGAAAGAGGCCACAAAUGGUAGAGUUGCCAGAUCGUGUGGCUAACUCUGUCCAGGAUGGGAUCGGACAGACAUCAAGCUCUGUUGGUGGCUCAGUAAGUUCUAAUGAACAACAGAAACAAGAAGCAACUGCUAAAAAUGAUAAGAAUCGCGAGUUCUGGGAAAAGCUGUUUGAAGAUGAUUCAGAGUCUCAAAAUGAAGGAGCAGAGGGUGAGCAGGCACUGAAUCGAUCGAAGGCUAUGGUGGAGGGUGCCUACGAUUUUUGGAACGGAGAAAUUAGUUUGGAAAGACUUCAAUAUUGUGAAUGAGGCUGAUGGAGUUCAAAAGCCCGUACUUAGGCAUUUUAACACCAGUGUUACAGAUAAUACCUUGGAGAUUCGAUUUUACUGGGCUGGCAAAGGCACUACCAGAAUCCCAGUUAGAGGGAAUUACGGCCCCCUCAUAUCUGCUAUUUCACUCAAACCAAGAUUGGUUACUUGCGUCUAGAAAAACACUGCAACGGAAUGAAUGAUUACAUGCUCUGCUAGACUACUUGUGGGGUUGACAAUGCUUAUCAACUCCCAUGUAAAAGAUGUUGGUUUUCUAGCUUCCAGGAUCCAAGUCAAUAUGUGGAAAAUCUGAUCCUAGCCCAUUCUUCUCCCUGCUGUUUGAACAACUGUUGGUUUCGGAAAUUGCAAAAGAUAAUUGGUUGAGUAUCUAUCUCAACAAUUGAUUUGCUUUGGUCUCUUCAGAGUUUCUUCAUUUUUCUAGAGACCACAAGUAAAAUAUUAUCAGCAAUCAGCAUCAAAGCCAAUUUGUGAACCUUUACUUGGCCUGCUACAAGUGAUUGAAAGAGUAAUUUUUCAUUAGCAUUCCUAAUUUAUUGUUGGGCAAACUAGUUUCUUUUAACCAAGCUCUUAAAUUUUAUUUCUGGCUUGAUCUGCUUGUGGUUCCGUACCAUCUAUUAGUAUUAGUAUGUUCCCUGAUUUGUGUUUCUACAAGCUCUCCUAAUUCUUAAUGAAAGAUAGCUUUUAAUUCGCUGGAAUUCCUAAAGUAUUUGCCUUUCUUUUAUAUACAUAUUAUAUCUAUUUAAUCAGCUCUUCGUUUGUAUGAACAUCAAAAGCCAAGUGUAAUUAGUCCUUGUAAGUUCCGGGCUUGCAGCAGACAAGUUUUUUUCCCAUUAAUUUCCCAGCAUUACCGGGGGUGUUGUAUUAUCUUGAAAAGAUGGAGGAGGGGAUGGCCAUGCCUCCAAAGAUUACAACACAAGGACACAGAAGGCAUUUGCAAUCUGUCCAAGAUGAACGGACCUUUGGCACCACUAGGAAGCUGUUGAAAAUCGAGGAAAAUCCUGUUGACAUGGUUUGACAAGGCAAACUUAGCAAGAUGGUCAGCCACUUGGUUGGCCUCCCUAAAGCAAUCUUGGUUCAUGAUGUGUGAGGUAUCCUCAAUAACUCUCUUCAAUUUGAAGUUAUUGGUUUUCCCCUCCUUGAGCAUAUUCAAUACCAGCAUAGAAUCAAGUUCAAUGGUGAAGUUGGAGUAUCCAUUAGUUUCACACCAGUUGAUCCCAAAGAAGGCAGCUUGUGCUUCAGCACAGUUGUGACUAUUGCACUUUGCACUGGCAGAGAAGGCCAUAAUGAAGUCGCCUUUAUCAUUUUUCAGGACUCCACUGAGGCCAGCAUUGUCAUUUCCUUUUACAAAACUUCCAUCUGUAUUGAGUUUAAGGGAGUUGCAACUAGGCUUCUCCCAUCAUACAAUGAUGGCCUCCAGAAUGGGUUGUAAUUUCAUCAUCUUCUCACAUAAAUUGACCCAAGGCAAUGUUAAGUUGCAAUUAGGAAAGACUCUGUGAAUAGCAGCUUGAAUGUUCCAGCACACUUGAUGUUUCAUUUUGAAAAAAUUGAAUCUUUUUUGAUCGCCAUAUUUACAAGA
Non-coding RNA from Nicotiana tabacum (common tobacco), 5227 nucleotides. Lineage: Eukaryota; Viridiplantae; Streptophyta; Magnoliopsida; Solanales; Solanaceae. The record is from RefSeq and is a predicted model, not a curated record.